UAGCUCCCACCCCCUGUAACAGCAACUCCAUGUGGAAUGCUCAGCUCUUUCCAGUGGGGCUGCUGUUAUCUGGGGUGGGAGCUGG
This is a microRNA precursor of Ochotona princeps (American pika), 85 nucleotides long. NCBI's taxonomy places the organism in Eukaryota, Metazoa, Chordata, Mammalia, Lagomorpha, Ochotonidae. The record is from Ensembl.